AUUGGCUUUACGUCAUCACUGGACGAGAAAUGAACGUUUUAUUGUAUAAUUCACAUUAUGCAUGGACAAAAUAAUCUGAUCACAGUGUAAAAAAAAAAAAAAAAAAACUUUCAGAGCGUUUUAUUUCAUUAAAUUUAAAGACAAAUUUAAAUACUUUUAAAAUAAAAGAACUAGCCAUGGCUGAUGUAAUCCUUGCGUCAGCUGUGGAGUAAUGUUUUGACGAUAUUGCGACUUGUGUGAAAUGCUGCAUGAUGAUGGUGUAGAUGUAAAGUAGUCCUCGGUGAGUCACACGGCAUGAGCUCUCCUCUAACCAGUCUAGGCAGGUCCGAGCACAAAAGAUCACAUGACCCUCAUUGUACCCUUCGUUUGUACCCUUCAGCACUCAUCUCACACAGGCUUUAAACAGGACGCGUUUCUUCCUUUCCGUCUGCAACGGCCUCGUAAACAACUGCUCGUGGAGUCACGUCUCCGGCUCCAGUUCCCAGGGAACUGUUCUGCGAUCAUAGAAUAGAGUGGCGUAGUAGAGUAGAACAGAGUACAGUAGAAUAAAGUAGAGUAGAGUAUAAUGGAUUAGUACUGAGUAUAAUACAGUAUAUUAUAAUAGAGUACACUAGAGUGGAAUAGAGCUGAGUAUAUUAGAGUAGAACAGUGUGAUUGAAUAGAACAGAAUAGAGUACAGUAGAGUAGAACAGAGCAGAGUAUAUUAGAGUAGAACGGACUAGAAUAGAACAGUAUAAUUGGGUAUAAUGGGAGUAGAGUGGAACAGUAUAAUAGAGUAGAGUUUAUUAGAGUAGAACAGUAUAAUAGAGUAGAACAGUAUAACAGAGUAGAACAGAACAGUAUAAUAGAGUAGAGUUUAUUAGAGUAGAACAGUAUAAUAGAGUAGAACAGUAUAAUAGAGUAGAACAGUAUAACAGAGUAGAACAGAACAGUAUAAUAGAGUAGAGUUGAAUAGAAUAGAACAGUAUAAUAGAGUUGAAUAGAGUAGAACAGUAGAAUAGAGUUGAAUAGAGUAGAACAGUAGAAUAGAGUAGAAUAGAGUAGAACAGUAGAAUAGAGUAGAACAGAACAGUAUAAUAGAGUAGAACAGAACAGUAUAAUAGAGUAGAACAGUAUAAUAGAGUAGAACAGAACAGUAUAAUAGAGUAGAGCAGUAUAUUAGAGUAGAGUUUAUUAGAGUAGAACAUUAUAAUAGAGUAGAGUUUAUUAGAGUAGAACAGUAUAAUAGUAGAGUUUAUUAGAGUAGAACAGUAUAAUAGAGUAGAGUUUAGUAGAACAGAACAGUAUAAUAGAGUAGAACAGAACAGUAUAAUAGAGUAUAAUAGAGUAGAGCAGUAUAUUAGAGUAGAGUAUAUUGGACUAGAACAGUAGAAUGGAGUAGAAUAUGAAUGGAGCACAUAUGAAUAAGAAUAAAUUAGAAUAGAGUAGAAUGGAAUAGAAUAGAGUACAGUAGAGUGUAUGGAAUACGAAUAGAAAUGAAGUAAGUAGUAUGUGUAUUGAGAAAAGUAUCGAGGAAAAAAGUAGAGUAAAAUAUAAACAGCAUUGAGUGGAAGAGGAAUUUAAAUAGAAUAUUAAAUGAAUUAAAUAGAGUGAAGUUAGAAGGUAGGACAGAGUAGAAUGUGAAUAGAAUAGUGUAGAGUAUGGAAUUAAAUAGUCUAGAAUGUGAAUAGAAUAGUGUAGAGUAUGGAAUUAAAUAGUCUAGAAUGUGAAUAGAAUAGUGUAAAGACGCUAAUGUCGCUAACAGGUAAUGGAAACAUGGCCACUGGUUUAGCAUUGUGUCUAAAUCAGCACACGGUCGCCUAUAAUGCUCAGUAACACAAUUUGUAUAUAAAACAGUAGAAUAAAUCUGUAUUCAAAGUGUGUGUGUGUGUGUGUGUGUGUGUGUGUGUGUGUGUGUGUGUGUGUGUGUAAAACUGCCCGGGAGGUAAAACUAAACCUGGUGUCGUUACUGAACACCUGGUGUGUUCUCUUGCUCAACUGGUGUUAUGCAAACCCCC
Ictalurus punctatus (channel catfish) is the source of this 1997-nucleotide long non-coding RNA. The record is from Ensembl. NCBI's taxonomy places the organism in Eukaryota, Metazoa, Chordata, Actinopteri, Siluriformes, Ictaluridae.